Molecule: ribosomal RNA, 427 nt
Filed under: uncultured bacterium
Lineage: Bacteria
Description: bacterial SSU rRNA
Rfam family: Bacterial small subunit ribosomal RNA
Source: RNAcentral
UGGGGAAUUGUUCGCAAUGGGCGCAAGCCUGACGACGCAACGCCGCGUGGAGGAUGAAGAUCUUCGGGUCGUAAACUCCUGUCGAGUGGGAAGAAUAGUUUCCGGGCGAAUAUCCCGGGAGCCUGACGGUACCACUAAAGGAAGCCCCGGCUAACUCCGUGCCAGCAGCCGCGGUAAUACGGGGGGGGCAAGCGUUGUUCGGAAUUACUGGGCGUAAAGGGCUCGUAGGCGGCCAACUAAGUCGGAUGUGAAAUCCCCAGGCUCAACCUGGGAACUGCAUCCGAUACUGGAUGGCUUGAAUUCGGGAGAGGGAUGCAGAAUUCCAGGUGUAGCGGUGAAAUGCGUAGAUAUCCGGAGGAACACCGGUGGCGAAGGCGGCUUCCUGGACCGAUUACUGACGCUGAGGCGCGAAAGCUAGGGGAGCAAA